This is a long non-coding RNA of Neltuma alba, 1619 nucleotides long. RefSeq lists it as uncharacterized. Lineage: Eukaryota; Viridiplantae; Streptophyta; Magnoliopsida; Fabales; Fabaceae. The transcript is spliced from 4 exons. The record is from RefSeq and is a predicted model, not a curated record.
GAUGCAAAUGGGCUUUGCGGACAAAAGGCUAAAAAUAUGGCCCGUGAAUUCCACCACUUGAAGCGUCCGUCCCCGCGAGGCGGGAACACCAUGCCCGCCAGCUCGGAUCUUCUCCCGCUGACUGAUGCCGGCCACAAUGUCGAAGUUGUCAACUCCGUUUAUGUCAUGUGGAUUUUUUUUAAAAUUUUUUUUAAACAAUGCCUUGAACCUUUCUCCAGACUUAUUUUCGGUUCCCCGAUCUCUACCGGUUGUUCUCUGUCAAUUGCACAGGUUUCCUUCCCAAACGAAACCAGAAUUGUCCAAUUAAGCGACGUGAACCCUCCUCAGAGGGCCCCAGACUCCCCCCCGUCUGUGCAUUUUGCUUUCUUUCCAUCCAUUUCAGAGGUAGAUGGUUUUGACUUGUUUUAGGAGUUGAAAUGUCUUUAUGCUAUUUUACAUUUUAAAAAAUGUCUUUCUGAAAUGGCAUUGUUUGAUGGACGAUUAGAGGGUUAUCAAUUCGGUGAAAAUGAUGCGAUCUCGCGCCUAAGCCAAGUCUCGUCUCUCUCUUCUCUCUAGUACAUGUUCAAUUUUAUUUAAAGAAAAGCAUCACCGACAGAGGUGUGCGCUGGAUGGUACUAUUAUCCUUGUAUUUUAUUCUUGUUGUGGUCUCUUUAUCUGGUGAAAUUCGAAGCACAUAACUUGGACGAAGCUUUUUACAAACUCCAUUUAGCCUUUUAUCGUGGAAGUUUUACGUUUUAUUCAUGAUUGGGAUGCAUGGCUACCGAGAUGAUCCCAACUAUACCUGCUCUAGUUCUGCUAGUAAAUAGCCUGUAACAACCUGACCAGUUUUAUACCGAUAGAUAAGUUGGGGACAAUUGUUCCCACCUGCCCAAAUCCCAUUGUGAAGAAAGCUCCGGCCUGCAGUAAAAGAUAGACGAAGAAAUGGUCGUGCCCGAAUAGCAGGUCAUAGAUUGCACAAUGCAGCAAAAACAUCCCCAUGAGUAUCUCCAGUGGGUGUAUUCUGUUGAUAAAAUCGGAGGAUUAUAAAUAUGCGCAAGACCAUUGGGAAGACUUGAGCCUGAUAUGCUUUGAUACGGUUUAAUCCCACGGUAAUUCUUGGCUUGUUGAACUGGAUACAAAUUGACAUGCUUUACGGUGAGCUACAAAGGUCGUUUGAAGCCAGGAAAUAUUUAUCUAUGAUGAAGAAUUCUUGAGUUUGUUAUUGUUGGUUUUAAUGUUAUAUCAAUUGUUUCCUUGUUUUUUUCUUUUUCCCCGCAGCCGGCCCCCUCAGUCUCACUAAAUAGUGUAAAUAUAUGAGUGUGGUCGUGGCAAGCACGAGAAGGAUGGUAAUUUGCAAAGCUUUCCUUUAGAAUGGAAGAAGGCCGGGUGGUAAUUGUUGGAAAGCCUGGACUGGUAAUGGAUGGGGAAACCAAGUAUAAGUAAAGAGUAUGGAAAUAUUUAUCGUUCCGAGUUGUUAAAUAUUCAUGGGAAGAAGGUUGUUUAAACGGGAAAUCACUAUUUUAUGUGCCUUAUAUUUCUUGAUUAGAAUCUUUUUCCGGUCAAUCUGACGAAUAAUCUCAGGGAAAUUUUGUUGAUUGAAUGAUAUAUUGAUUUGAAUAAUGGAAGCUUUUAAAAAUAAA